Molecule: transfer RNA, 72 nt
Filed under: Apaloderma vittatum (bar-tailed trogon)
Lineage: Eukaryota; Metazoa; Chordata; Aves; Trogoniformes; Trogonidae
Rfam family: tRNA
About the family: Transfer RNA (tRNA) molecules are approximately 80 nucleotides in length. Their secondary structure includes four short double-helical elements and three loops (D, anti-codon, and T loops). Further hydrogen bonds mediate the characteristic L-shaped molecular structure. tRNAs have two regions of fundamental functional importance: the anti-codon, which is responsible for specific mRNA codon recognition, and the 3' end, to which the tRNAs corresponding amino acid is attached (by aminoacyl-tRNA synthetases). tRNAs cope with the degeneracy of the genetic code in two manners: having more than one tRNA (with a specific anti-codon) for a particular amino acid; and 'wobble' base-pairing, i.e. permitting non-standard base-pairing at the 3rd anti-codon position.
Source: Rfam by way of RNAcentral
GGCUGGUUAGCUCAGUCGGUUAAGCGUGGUGCUAAUAAUGCCAAGGUCACGAGUUCGAUUCCCGUUCGGUCC